Molecule: ribosomal RNA, 159 nt
Filed under: Methanobacteriota archaeon
Lineage: Archaea; Methanobacteriati; Methanobacteriota
Description: Euryarchaeota archaeon (hot springs metagenome) partial 16S ribosomal RNA
Rfam family: Archaeal small subunit ribosomal RNA
Source: RNAcentral
CAACUCCGGUUGAUCCUGCCGGCGACUACUGCUAUCAGGUUCCGACUAAGCCAUGCGAGUCAAAGGGUCGCAAGACACUGGCGUACUGCUCAGUAACACGCGGACAAUCUAACCCCAGGUGGGGUAUAACCUCGGGAAACUGAGGGUAAUUCCCCAUAG